CACAUCCAAGGAAGGCAGCAGGCGCGCAAAUUACCCAAUCCCGACUCGGGGAGGUAGUGACAAGAAAUAACAAUAGUUGUUCUCUUUUUGGACGACUAAUUGGAAUGAGUACAAUUUAAAUCCCUUAAUGAGGAUCCAUUGGAGGGCAAGUCUGGUGCCAGCAGCCGCGGUAAUUCCAGCUCCAAUAGCGUAUACUAAAGUUGUUGCAGUUAAAAAGCUCGUAGUUGGAUUUCUGUGGGGACGGAGCGGCCGGCCGCAACACGCGGUUCGAGCUAGCGCUUUCCCUACAUCCUGCCGCGAACCGUGCUACCAUUAGUUUGGUGGCGCCGGGGAUCGGCUCGAUUACUUUGAGAAAAAUAGAGUGUUCAAAGCAGGCCACACGCCUUGAAUAAGUUAGCAUGGAAUAAUAACUAAGGACUUCGGUUCUAUUUUGUUGGUGUUCGGGACUGAAGUAAUGAUUGAUAGGGACAGUUGGGGCGGUCUGUAUUCCAAAGCGAGAGGUGAAAUUCUUAGACCUUCGGAAGACAAACAGCUGCGAAAGCGUUCCGCAAGGAUGUUCCCUUUGAUCAAGAACGAAAGUUGGGGGAUCGAAGACGAUCAGAUACCGUCGUAGUCUCAACUAUAAACUAUACCAGCUAGGGAUCGGCCAACGUUAUUUUAUACCGACUUGGUCGGCACCUUAUGAGAAAUCAAAGCAUCUGGGUUCCGGGGGGAGUAUGGUCGCAAGGCUGAAACUUAAAGGAAUUGACGGAAGGGCACCACCAGCCGUGGAGCCUGUGGCUUAAUUUGACUCAACACGGGAAACCUUACCAGGUCCAGACAUAGUAAGGAUUGACAGAUUGAUAGCUCUUUCUUGAUUCUGUGGGUGGUGGUGCAUGGCCGUUCUUAGUUGGUGGAGUGAUUUGUCUGGUUAAUUCCGUUAACGAACGAGACCCCAGCCUGCUAAAUAGCGCGAGUGAGCUUUGCUCGCUGCGAGCUUCUUAGAGGGACUAUGAUGCGCGAUAGCACAUGGAAGUUUGGGGCAAUAACAGGUCUGUGAUGCCCUUAGAUGUUCUGGGCCGCACACGGGCUACACUGGCGCCUGCAACGAGCAUAUCAGCUGGCCCGAGAGGGUCUUGGCUAAUCUUUUGAACCGGCGCCGUGCUUGGGAUUGACCUUUGCAAUUGUUGGUCAUGCAACGAGGAAUGCCUUGUAAACGCGAGUCAUCAGCUCGCAUUGAAUACGUCCCUGCCCUUUGUACACACCGCCCGUCGCUCCUACCGAUGAAUGUUCCGAUGAAAUUUUCGGAGAGCACCUGUGAACUUGGCUCUGCCUUGCGAACGGGAGGCUCAAAGUCACUUAAAUCUGAACAUUUCGAGG
RNAcentral lists this ribosomal RNA (1359 nucleotides) under uncultured marine eukaryote. RNAcentral's name for it is "SSU rRNA". It matches the Rfam family "Eukaryotic small subunit ribosomal RNA", at positions 411 to 1779 of the family's 1831-position model. The record is from RNAcentral.